UCACGACGUUGUUAAACGACGUUAUGCAUGAACGUAAUUUUUCUCACCGAACGUUGUAAAACGACGUUAUGCAUGAACGUAAUGCUCAUAACUUCCCUCUAGAUCUAGCUGCGAUCGAAGCUCCAUCUAUAAAUGGAUAAAAUUUUGAGCGUAAAGUAUACGAGUUUUUGAAACUAAAAGAGCAAUAUCAACAAUCUUGAUAUUGCUCUUUUAGUUUUAUUAGUAGUUUACCUAUUUCUAAAUUUAUACAUACAUUUUUUAUUUGCAGAUUCUAUAGUUCUUUAAUUUCUUAUCUUGAAUAUAUAUAUGGAUCUCUCUCUUUUUUUCCUAUCCUAGAAGAAAAGAAUGAUAAUGAAAGGUAGAAAUUCAGGUAUAGAUCACCCUUACAUAGUAUAAGGGCGGAUGUAGCCAGUGGAUCAAGGCAGUGGAUUGUGAAUCCACCAUGCGCGCCUGU
RNAcentral lists this unclassified non-coding RNA (454 nucleotides) under Pullenia gunnii. Its description in RNAcentral is "partial miscellaneous RNA". Lineage: Eukaryota; Viridiplantae; Streptophyta; Magnoliopsida; Fabales; Fabaceae. The record is from RNAcentral.